Molecule: ribosomal RNA, 468 nt
Filed under: uncultured bacterium
Lineage: Bacteria
Description: partial 16S ribosomal RNA
Rfam family: Bacterial small subunit ribosomal RNA
Source: RNAcentral
GACGAACGCUGGCGGCGUGCUUAACACAUGCAAGUCGAACGGAAAGGCCCUGCUUUUGUUGGGUGCUCGAGUGGCGAACGGGUGAGUAACACGUGAGUAACCUGCCCUUGACUUUGGGAUAACUUCAGGAAACUGGGGCUAAUACCGGAUAGGAGCUCCUGCUGCAUGGUGGGGGUUGGAAAGUUUCGGCGGUUUGGGAUGGACUCGCGGCUGAUCAGCUUGUUGGUGGGGUAGUGGCUUACCAAGGCUUUGACGGGUAGCCGGCCUGAGAGGGUGACCGGCCACCUUGGGACUGCGAUACGGCGCAGACUCGUACGGGAGACAGCAGUGGGGAAUAUUGCACAGUGGGCGGAAGCCUGAGGCGACAACGCCGCGGGCGGGAUGACGGCCUUCGGGUUGUAAACCGCUUUCGCCUGUGACGAAGCGUGAGUGACGGUAAUGUGUAAAGAAGCACCGGCUAACUACGUG